This 245-nucleotide ribosomal RNA is filed under the name uncultured bacterium. RNAcentral's name for it is "partial 16S ribosomal RNA". It matches the Rfam family "Bacterial small subunit ribosomal RNA", at positions 527 to 771 of the family's 1533-position model. The record is from RNAcentral.
GUAGGGGGCAAGCGUUAUCCGGAUUUACUGGGUGUAAAGGGAGCGUAGACGGCUGCGCAAGUCUGAAGUGAAAGCCCGGGGCUCAACCCCGGGACUGCUUUGGAAACUGUGUAGCUAGAGUGCUGGAGAGGCAAGCGGAAUUCCUAGUGUAGCGGUGAAAUGCGUAGAUAUUAGGAGGAACACCAGUGGCGAAGGCGGCUUACUGGACUGUAACUGACGUUGAGGCUCGAAAGCGUGGGGAGCAA